Molecule: long non-coding RNA, 5407 nt
Filed under: Taeniopygia guttata (zebra finch)
Lineage: Eukaryota; Metazoa; Chordata; Aves; Passeriformes; Estrildidae
Description: lncRNA (ENSTGUG00000026334.1)
Source: RNAcentral
AGAUGCUGUCUUAAGAACAGCAGGUUGUUGUGUGCUUUCUGUUCCAUCUACUCCCCAGUGCCUCAUUUUGAAAACCCUCUCAUAGCAAGAGUCUUUUUAUAAACCUCUUACCCAUUCAGCAGAAUUAGAUGAUGAGUUUGCCUCAGCUGCUUCCCUGGUGGAUUCAUUUCUCCCGUGAAGCUCUUCCACCUCAAUUCUCUGCUCCUGCUCUUGCCUUUCUGUCAGCACAGGAAUCUGUGCAGCACCUGAUAAAAGCCAAGCUCCAGUCAGUGCUUGCUUGCUGUCCAUGGCCAGAGUCACACCUGCCCUCUACCAGAGCUCGGUAAGCUCUGAAAUGGAGAGUGCAGAGCUCUUGUACAGAUAGGCUUGAUGACAGGCACUAGAGUGGCCAUCAGGCUGCAAAUGAAAUAAGCUGAAAACUACCCCAAAGGGUUACUUAAGAGGCUGCCUUAGAUUAUCUCGCUGAUCUGAGCCCUCUGCUCACAGCUGCCCUGCAUUUUUAUUUGUCCUGCACCCUUGUCAUUCACCAUUAUUUUCCUAUGAUUUCUUCUACCCUUAAACUUCUAGAUUUUGAAAAAAAAACCCUAAACCAAACAACAAAAAAAAAAACCCCAAAUGAACAAACAAAACUUCCCACCAAAACCCCCUACCAACCCAAAUUAAUAGUUAACGAAAAAGAAAUCACAGCUUGAAAAAACAGAACUCCGUGUUCAAGGCUGAGUUUUUCACAUGUCAGUUCCAGUUGUUUCUACCAGGAGUAAGAGUCUAUGUGGCAGAGCUAAGUUCUGUCUCCUCAGUUUUUCAGUCAGAAAUUAGCAAGAAAUUAUUAGAACUGAUCCCCUUUGAAUUCCCUAGCCAGGUCAAGAUCUUCAGUUUAAGUGAUGACUCUCCUUAAAAGGAUGGACACUGCAAGAACACUCGCCUGAACUACAAGCUGUGCCUCUGAUCGCUCCUCAGCUCAGCAUGCCCCAGCAGACCAGGACCAGCUGACACACAGUAUAAAAUACUGUACAAAACUGGAGUGUACUGCAUGAUUGGAAAGGCUUCCUGUGACUGGACCAGUCAGCAGGUGAGUGAUGAUUGAUAGUGCUAAAGGUCUAAUCACAGCUAGUCCCCCAGUCUUUGUCUGCGUUUGAGAGGUAUAAAAAGAGCUGAAGAUCAGCAUCUUCCAGAACUGGUGCAUAAUGUCUUCAGUUAGUUGUAGGAAGUAAAUUGUCUUCUGGAUGUCUUACAUUAUAUUAAUAAUUUAAGGUUAAAUGGAUGUCACUCCUAUUGCUGAAAAUUUUAAUUGUGUGGGAAUACUAAUUGCAUUCAUGAUUUUCAAUGCUUAACUUAGAAUUGGGAUCUUAAAUUGCUCCCCUGUAGAAAUUAGAAUAUGACUGGUAAAAAACCAGGGAGACACAGCACAUAUAAAACAGUUGGCUACAACUUUAUGGACACAAAUCCAUAUAGGGCCCAUACUGCUCUAUCAUCCAUAUUGAUUUAUUUCUCCCUUUUCAUUAAGAACUUGUAAUAAAAAAAUAAAAUGGUUAGUAAAGGUUACAGAUUACUGAGCAGAGUAACCAUGUGAUCACUGCAGCCCCCUGUAACCACACAGCAGAUUCACUCAGGGUCUUGCAUCUAUCCUCCUCCUCCUCUGAGGAGAAACUGUGGUUGGGUCUUGUGUGAAACAGAAGCUCAUGCACAGCAUUUUUGUAAACCUUAGGUAAUAAUUCCUAUCAGCAAAUCCUUAUGGAGGAAAACAAACACUACAGAGGUGAUAUUAAGGCAGAGAGUUUAAGUCAAUCGUCAUUAAAAGUUGUUCAGACCCUCUUUGUAUUUGUGUCUUUCACCCAGAGAUCCAAGUGUUGAGGAAGGCAGGUGGGAGGGGCAGGAAACGCAUAACAUAGUUCAAAUUGAAAAAUCUUUCUGAUGACAAGUGAAAUGUCACACAUAUGUUCUUGCUAGCCUACCUUUCUCUUCAACAAUCACUGUUGUCCCAUUUCCACGUAGUUUCUUAAAGCAAGGUAUUUCAAUAAUUAUCUCACAGUAGUAAAAUCCAGUGUCAUUUACAUUGGCAGAUUUGAUGACUAGCACAUCCUUGUUUUCACGGGUGAUGUUGGAUGAAUAGAAAAGUUUUGACGAUAUAGUUUUACUGAUGUUCACUUUAUUAACAAAAUACCAGUGUACUCUACACCUCUCAAUAGCUUUUUCCCAAAUACAAGUGAUUUCAGUAUUGUCUCCAACUAACAGAUUUAUAUUUGUUGGUGUUUGGAUGACUCUUGAAUUAUUGGAACCUGUAGCUAUGGAGAAAUACACACAGAUUUAAAAGGUAAAGCAACAAAGAAAUGUAAUGAAAUCUGUAUUUAAAAUAAAUAAUUUAACAUUAAAGAAGAGUUUAAAUAUUAAAAUAAGCAUUUAAAAUAACAAUUAAUGCUGCAAAAUCAUUACAACAAUAAUUUUCAAGCUUACUCCUCACUUUUUCCUUAAAUGAUGGCAAUUGUUUUCUGGCUAAAGUAAACUUUUAAUCUGAUGUGUUAAAGUCCUCAAACAUUGUUUGUGUGAAAUAAACAAAUAUUUUCUGCAUUUUUAUUUUCAAGAAAAAGCUUUAUAAAAAGAGAUUGAGUUUGAAGUAUAUUAAACACUCUCUGCCGGAUAAAGAAGGAACAAAAGGAGUAAUUCAGAAUGAUUCAUUACUCAAUAGUGAAAAGCUCAUCAAGUUUGAAGAAAAAGACACUGCAAAUUUUGUCCCCAUGUAGGAGUUCUUGUCCAGCACUACUUCUAAUGAAUGACAAGUGUACAGCAUUUGAGAGGUGAGUUUUUUCACUUGGUUUCAACUUCUUCUAUGAAGUACUUGCUGACAAGCAGUUUACAACAUCAAAUUCACCUCCUUCAUUUAAUAAGAGGUUAAAUGUUCUGUUACCCUGUUCUUUCAUCAGGUCUCUUGUCUGGCUUUUAAGAAAAGACUGACUUGGACAGUAUCAGUAGAAAUCAAACUUUUUGUUUCUUCCUGCUUUCAGAACAUUUUUCUUUCACUGCCAACAUGCAAAGUGAGUGAUACAUGAGACAUUGUGCAAUAUAUGUACAAAGCAUUUUCUUCUAAAGGGAAAACACUAUGUGGGUAUCAGAUAACUCUUUUUACAUUCUAAUGGCAUUGAUGCUCAUUACAAAAUUGCUAAUACUAUAAAAUCUAUUUCCAUGACUGCUGAGACAAUUAUUUUCAUCUGCUAUAUGAAGAAUUGUAAUUCCUUUUUUCUAUCCUUUACAACAUUAAAGGGAAGAACUAAUAAUAAGAGUAAAUGGCAUGAUUUUCUUCUAAAUUUUAUUCUGUUUAUCACUCAGGCACAUUUCACAGCAAGACACACUAAUUAGACAAUUUUUUUCAUAUCUCACACUAAAAUGGCAUCUGAUCGGUUUUAUCAAAAUAUGCAAAUCAAUUUUUCUGUUUUUUCAAUAGAAAAAGCCACACAUUCAUCACAAGUAAAGGAGUCAGGCACCUCCAUCUUUACAAUGCAACACUUAAAAACUUGUAGAAAAGAAUAUGGACAGUAUAGGGAUAAUAUAAGCAGCAGAAAAAAUAAGGGAAAUAAAUGAUGCAGUGUAUAAAUGACAACCUAAUAGAACAGCUAGAACAGCUUCUAAGUUGUUCAAGUUAAAGAAAUAAUCACCAAUUUCAGGUUAUCUGUUCAUUUGAUUUGUUGUUUAAAACAGUUGUGCCAUUGACUGUGCUAUAUUUCCAUCUUUACUGCUUUUCUGAAAAAUAUCACUGAAAAUUUUUUUUGCUAAUUUUUAAACUCAUAUGGAAUACCUUCAGCAUUAUCCACUGUGAUUUGUAUUGAAUAAGAAUCAUGAAUUCUUUCUGCUUUGUACUUCAGUACCUAUGUGAUCUAGAAUAAAUUAUCCUUAACAUUUUAAAAUUCUACAUUCAGCAUUUUUCAUAAAAAAUAUUCAAGUCAGAAAUCCUAAAAAGAUGGUGCAUACAUUAACCUAACAUCAUUUUGGGUGUUGAAGUGUUUAAUUUAUUCCUCAAUGCUUUCCCUGAAACAAUUUCUUUGUGAAAAUACUUUUUGAUUUCUCAUGCUAUUUAAUCUUGCUUUCAGCAUUAUGAAAAGACAGUAAAUAUUCUCCUUGUCUCACAUGUGUAUUUGAGGUGGAUAUACCAUAAGUUGGUUUUUUUUAAAUCCAGCUCAAGAAUUACACACAAUUAACUAAAACCAAAACAACUACAACAAAAAAAAAAAAACACCCAACACUUACCUAAGCAGCCAAAACACACUGUUAAAAGAAGUUUCAUUGGAAGUAUAAUCAUCAUGCAGAAUUAUUAGCAUUUGCAUCAGGCUGCCUUGGUUGAAGAUCAGCAAAACACCAAAUGAAAGCGUGUCAACUUUGCGGCUUAACUUCCUCUCCCCUCAUGUGGUGACGAUGAUAGAACCUAAAUGCAGCCAAAUUUUUUCCCUACAUUCUGCGAAACUGCUGUUUCAGAACUCAGCCAUUCUACUUGAAAUCAAAUAAUUUCUUCUUUAACAUUUAAACUGUGUUGUAACUGGUUGCUGUUCAGCCUAGAUUAGUCUCUCUUCUUGUAUGACCUAAAGAAGAACUGGUUUUCCAUAUGGAGUUUCAUGACAGCUUUUGCCAUUGUCCUUCUAAAAUCCUUCAUUUAAAAGCACUUUACAAAGGUGAGGUUUCUUCAGCUGCUGUGCACGUGCUUGUCAGCAGCCUCUUCCAGCCAACCAGAUGAAUCUUAUCCGAAGUGAGAGACAAUGAUUGCACAGGGGUUACACCAAAGUCAAGUAUUGCUCCUAUCUUUUUUUAUCAUACAUUUCAUUGCCUCCUUGCUGAAAUGUUGCCUGAAUUCUUCCCUCCUGUGAGAAAUACUUUUGUACUUUUGCCUUAACAGCAGCAGAACUCUUGUGGCAGGAGCAGUAGGGGAAGGCUGAGUUCCACGAUCACACUCAAAGUGGCCCCAGCAUCCUGCAGCACCAGUGGGGACCUUACACUGUGCAUGCAAUGCAUCAGCCAUCACCUCUAUGGGUGCAGCUGCAUUAAUGCAAUACCAGUGCCAUGUACAUUAACUAAAGCUCAUUUCAGGAAGAUUAUAAACAUGGGUUAAAAGAAAAUGACCUACGCUUACAUCAUCAAGGUAAAGCUUACUUGUUAUCAAUUAUUAAAACAUGUUCUGCAAAUGUGGGUAACUGUAUGCUGCUUAAUAUUCUCCAGCACUGAUUUUUGCUCCAACCCAGAAACACAUAUAUGGCCUGGCCAGAGACAUUCCCUAGAAGACAAAAAAUUGCAUUUGUUUCUUAACUUAUCCAUUUUAUUCCAUGUUUCAAAUGUAGUUGCUUGGCCAGAAAAAAAUUGUCCCAAAAACAUGUUCAGUUGGAUAAUGUCAAAAUUGCAAUGACAGGAAAAAAAAAAGAGAAAAAAAAAU